GGAGAAAAGGGAGGGGGACGGAAGAGGAAGGAGGACUGAGCCCGGGAGAGAGAGGGGAGGGGUCGGCGCGCGACCGGGUCAUGCAGGUGCAGACUGGCCGGUCGCUUCCCGCCCUCCAGCCACCCGCAGCUCCCCGGCAGGCGAAGGGCGGCCGCGCGGGUGUGGGCCGAGAGAGGGAGGCGGCUCGGCUGGAGCGCGCCGUCCGCCCGACCCCCGCCGCCUCUCGGGCGCCUGCGCUCACGCUGCGGGGCCCAGCGCAUUGUGAGCCGGGUCGAGCUCCACGCUGGCAGCGUCUGAGAGCUGUCCUGGGCCGGAGGUGGCGCGAACCCUGUGCGGCCUAGAGUGGGCCUGGGGAAGCCAGCUGCCAUGUUCUGAGUACUCUCUGGAAGGGCCUGCAUGGCAAGGAACUGAUGUUUCCAGCCAGCAGCCAGCAAGAACUGCAAGCCUUGUGAAUGAGCUUGGAAGCAGAUCCUCCCCUCACUCAAGCCAUGAUAUGACAACAGCCUGAGACCCAGAGAAUCAGAAAUCUGAGCGUAGGAAGAAGUGGGUUAGCCCUGGAGAAAGGAAAAGGAGGAUCAUGGUUCUCUGCAAAGAGCUGGAAGCUAAAAAGCAGGCUGUGUUUACUUACCAACCAGGACUCAGUGGGAUCUUUGCCAGCUUCCAAUAUGGCCUUAAAAGUAUAUGAAAUCCAAGAAAUAUUUCUGCAAAGCAAGAGAUCUUCACUGCUUUAUUUUCCACCACCUGAAUCCUUGCAGUGAGUGUAGUGUGUAUCUAAUCAAUCUAUUAAAAAAUACUUCAAAAGUUCUA
This 807-nucleotide long non-coding RNA is filed under the name Homo sapiens (human). Its description in RNAcentral is "non-protein coding AZIN1-AS1:3". Lineage: Eukaryota; Metazoa; Chordata; Mammalia; Primates; Hominidae. The record is from RNAcentral.